UGUAAGUUGUUAUCAGAGUGAAGAUGCCUUCCUAGAAGUAAGUUGCUCUUCAGUAGGGCUCCUGGACUCUAAGGAACCUUCCCUCUUUUUGUAGAGAGAGGAAGAGGGGAAACAUGCUCAGGCCCACUGUUAACAACAGGGCUUAACUUCAAGGGGGAAGAAAACCUAGCUGUGAGUCAAAUAUACUCAGAACAUUAUUCUAAAUAAAUCACAAACAGAAACCACAAA
Pantherophis guttatus is the source of this 228-nucleotide long non-coding RNA. RefSeq lists it as uncharacterized. The record is from RefSeq and is a predicted model, not a curated record. Lineage: Eukaryota; Metazoa; Chordata; Lepidosauria; Squamata; Colubridae.